GUACCUUCAAGCUCUGCUUGGUGUUGGGUGUUUGUCCCGCCUUUGUGCGCGGACUCGCCUUAAAGCAAUUGGCAGCCGGCGUAUUAGUUUCGGAGCGCAGCACAAAUCGCGCUCUGUGUCUUAUACGGUAGCAUCCAUCAAGACUAUUUUACAC
This 154-nucleotide unclassified non-coding RNA is filed under the name Neoascochyta graminicola. RNAcentral describes it as "partial internal transcribed spacer 2". Lineage: Eukaryota; Fungi; Ascomycota; Dothideomycetes; Pleosporales; Didymellaceae. The record is from RNAcentral.